GGGGGAUUGGUGAAAUAGGUAGACACGUGGCACUCAAAAUGCUAUGGCGAGAGCCGUAUCAGUUCAAAUCUGAUAUCCCCUACCA
RNAcentral lists this transfer RNA (85 nucleotides) under Caudoviricetes sp. Its description in RNAcentral is "tRNA-Leu". It matches the Rfam family "tRNA". From Rfam's summary of the family: Transfer RNA (tRNA) molecules are approximately 80 nucleotides in length. Their secondary structure includes four short double-helical elements and three loops (D, anti-codon, and T loops). Further hydrogen bonds mediate the characteristic L-shaped molecular structure. tRNAs have two regions of fundamental functional importance: the anti-codon, which is responsible for specific mRNA codon recognition, and the 3' end, to which the tRNAs corresponding amino acid is attached (by aminoacyl-tRNA synthetases). tRNAs cope with the degeneracy of the genetic code in two manners: having more than one tRNA (with a specific anti-codon) for a particular amino acid; and 'wobble' base-pairing, i.e. permitting non-standard base-pairing at the 3rd anti-codon position. Lineage: Duplodnaviria; Heunggongvirae; Uroviricota; Caudoviricetes. The record is from RNAcentral.